This is a long non-coding RNA of Gadus macrocephalus (Pacific cod), 1558 nucleotides long. RefSeq lists it as uncharacterized. The transcript has 4 exons. The record is from RefSeq and is a predicted model, not a curated record. NCBI's taxonomy places the organism in Eukaryota, Metazoa, Chordata, Actinopteri, Gadiformes, Gadidae.
CUGGCCACACUACAAGAUUCGAGGGUGCGAUGCUCUCUACUUUGUAUCAUUCACGUUUGCAAGAUAUUUUGAAAAUCUGAGAUUUAGAACUAACAUAAAUGCUUUUUACAUUUUUGUCAUAAAGGUUCCAGUAGUUUUUAUAUCUGCUCAAUGCGGCAAUUCCUCACAGUAGUUGCGUUGCGAGUGACAUCAACGAUACAAAUUACCCGCAGCAACAACGUAGCCUAGCAACAAAGCGUCAACAAUGGAUCCCGAGUACCUAGCACUAGGCAUUAUGCUGGCGGUCCUCUGCACAGAGACGAAAAAGAAGAAAAGAUUGUUGACUCUUGGAUUGCAAGAAGAGGAGAGCUCGGGAUGUCGGUGCUACAUACCGAACUGGAGGAGACUGAUAGGAAAGGGUUCAGUGAGUUCCUGAGGAUGAGCGUAGAGGACUUUAAACUCCUUCUGGGGUAAGUUGAGCCUCUCAUCAGAAAGACGGACACAAAAAUGAGAAGGGCCAUCAGUGCCCGACAGAGAUUGUCUGUAACCCUCAGAUUCCUUGCAACUGGUGAGUCUUUCAGGUCACUGAGCUUCCAGUACAGGAUUGGCAGGUCUACUGUUGGCUUGAUUGUAAUGGAGACCUGCCAAGCAUUGUACAAUGUUCUGAAGGAAGAUCACAUGAAGACACCAACAACUGAGUCUGAGUGGCGAGAGGAUUUGAAGAUAAAUGCCAAUUUCCUCAUUGCUUAGGUGCAAUUGAUGGGAAACACAUCUAUAUUCAGCCCCCUGCUAAUUCAGGAAGUUCGUUUUAUAAUUAUAAAGGCAGGUUCUCAAUUGUGCUCAUGGCAGUUGUAGAUGCCAACUACAAAUUCAUCUAUGCAAGUGUUGGCACUCGGGGCCGAAUGUCGGACGCAAGUCUGUUUGGACACUCAGAUCUCCGCAGUGCCAUGGACAGAGACGUGUUACAUUUUCCCCGCCCUGAGCCACUUCCCAAUACAGAAUUAAUCAUGCCCUAUAUGUUUGUUGGUGAUGAAGCCUUCCCUCUCCGUUCUGACCUUAUCAAGCCCUAUCCCCACAGAAACCUAGAUCAUGGACAGCGAAUUUUCAAUUACAGAUUAUCUAGAGCAAGGCGAACUGUGGAAAAUGCAUUUGGCAUAUUGGCAAAUAGAUUACGUGUGUUCCUAACCAAUAUUUCUAUUGAACCAGAUAAGGUUACUUGCAUCACCCUUGCCCUCCACAAGUUCCUGAGGGAAAAAUCAUCAGAGGCCUACGUGCCUCCAGUCUUUGUGGACACAGAGGACGAGAACCACAGAGUCAUUGCCGGAACAUGGCGAAGAGGUGGAGAUCAUGACUCUGCGGCAUUGAGCAGGGCGCGGAAUGCCACAACCACUGCUAAAGACCAGUGACCAGCUGAAGGCAUGUUCUCAAUCCUCUGAAGGAUCCGUUGAUUGGCAGGAGGAGGAUGAUUUGAACAUUUUAUGUAUUGAUAUUUAUUUAUUAUCAAUAGGUUUAUACUAUUUAUAAUAUACUAUAUAUUUAUUUACGCUAUUAUACUACUAUUUAUUAGUUAGUUACAACA